CAAUAGCGUAUAUUUAAGUUGUUGCAGUUAAAAAGCUCGUAGUUGGAUUUCGGGUGGGUACCGCCGGUCUCCCAUUGGGUAUGUACUGGCGUGGCCCGCCUUGCUGUCGGGGACGGUCUCCUGGGCUUAAUUGCUCGGGAAUCGGAGUCGACGAUGUUACUUUGAGUAAAUUAGAGUGUUCAAAGCAAGCCUACGCUCUGAAUAUAAUAGCAUGGGAUAACACGACAGGACUCUGGCCUAUCGUGUUGGUCUGUAGGACCGGAGUAAUGAUUAAGAGGGACAGUCGGGGGCAUUCGUAUUUCAUUGUCAGAGGUGAAAUUCUUGGAUUUAUGAAAGACGAACUACUGCGAAAGCAUUUGCCAAGGAUGUUUUCAUUAA
Molecule: ribosomal RNA, 378 nt
Filed under: uncultured eukaryote
Lineage: Eukaryota
Description: partial 18S ribosomal RNA
Rfam family: Eukaryotic small subunit ribosomal RNA
Source: RNAcentral